AUUGAACGCUGGCGGCAGGCCUAACACAUGCAAGUCGAGCGAGCGGCGGACGUGUGAGCAAUGUAUGUGCAUCGGCCUGAGAGAUGGGGAUAACUACUGGAAACGAUUGCUACUACCGCAUACUAUCGGAUGAACCCAUCUGGGAUUAGCUAGUAGGUGGGGUAAAGGCACACCUAGGCGACGAUCUCUAGCUGGUCUGAGAGGAUGAUCAGCCACACUGGGACGGAGACACGGCCCAGACUCCUACGGGAGGCAGCAGUGGGGAAUAUUGCACAAUGGGCGCAAGCCUGAUGCAGCCAUGCCGCGUGUAUGAAGAAGGCCUUAGGGUUGUAAAGUACUUUCAGCGGGGAGGCGUUACCCGCAGAAGAAGCCCCGGCUAACUCCGUGCCAGCAGCCGCGGUAAUAC
RNAcentral lists this ribosomal RNA (406 nucleotides) under uncultured bacterium. RNAcentral describes it as "partial 16S ribosomal RNA". It matches the Rfam family "Bacterial small subunit ribosomal RNA", at positions 30 to 526 of the family's 1533-position model. The record is from RNAcentral.